AAAAGUAUCUAUACUACCGGCUUGAGCAAAGACAAUAGAUUUACCAAUGAGGAACUCAAAAGUCAACCCAAUAAUACCUCCUUUCUUCACCAAAUGAUCAUCAACCUCAGAUUUCUUCAAAUGAAGAGCUUCAGCUAGGAUAUGAGAUAUGGGAAUAUCCAGCUAGGAUAUGAAUUUACUGCUACACACACCACUGCCCGAUCUUUU
Molecule: long non-coding RNA, 207 nt
Filed under: Lathyrus oleraceus (garden pea)
Lineage: Eukaryota; Viridiplantae; Streptophyta; Magnoliopsida; Fabales; Fabaceae
Description: Pisum sativum (pea) long non-coding RNA (PSAT_LNC006359)
Source: RNAcentral